RNAcentral lists this ribosomal RNA (242 nucleotides) under Millerozyma farinosa. RNAcentral's name for it is "partial 28S ribosomal RNA". It matches the Rfam family "Eukaryotic large subunit ribosomal RNA", at positions 1 to 241 of the family's 3401-position model. The record is from RNAcentral. Lineage: Eukaryota; Fungi; Ascomycota; Pichiomycetes; Serinales; Debaryomycetaceae.
GUUUGACCUCAAAUCAGGUAGGAAUACCCGCUGAACUUAAGCAUAUCAAUAAGCGGAGGAAAAGAAACCAACAGGGAUUGCCUUAGUAACGGCGAGUGAAGCGGCAAAAGCUCAAAUUUGAAAUCUGGCGUCUCCGGCGUCCGAGUUGUAAUUUGAAGAAAGCUACCUUGGGGCUGGAGUUGUCUAAGUUCCUUGACAGGACGUCACAGAGGGUGAGAAUCCCGUGAGAUAGCUUCCAGUUC